This 253-nucleotide ribosomal RNA is filed under the name uncultured bacterium. Its description in RNAcentral is "partial 16S ribosomal RNA". It matches the Rfam family "Bacterial small subunit ribosomal RNA", at positions 524 to 776 of the family's 1533-position model. The record is from RNAcentral.
UACGUAGGGGGCUAGCGUUGUCCGGAAUCAUUGGGCGUAAAGCGCGUGUAGGCGGUUCGGUAAGUCCGCUGUGAAAGUCGGGGGCUCAACCCUCGGAUGCCGGCGGAUACUGUCGGACUAGAGUACGGAAGAGGCGAGUGGAAUUCCUGGUGUAGCGGUGAAAUGCGCAGAUAUCAGGAGGAACACCUAUUGCGAAGGCAGCUCGCUGGGACGUAACUGACGCUGAGACGCGAAAGCGUGGGGAGCAAACAGG